Molecule: long non-coding RNA, 12369 nt
Filed under: Musa acuminata (dwarf banana)
Lineage: Eukaryota; Viridiplantae; Streptophyta; Magnoliopsida; Zingiberales; Musaceae
Description: long non-coding RNA (MACU_LNC004132)
Source: RNAcentral
CUCUCUCUCUCUCUCUCUCUCUCUCUCUCUCUCUCUCUCUCUCUAUAUAUUUAUAUAUAUUGGUGAAACUUUGUGUGGUUGUGAGGUUGAUGCAUGUCAACCUGGAGAGGAUGUAUGUUCAUCCUCCUUCAGGCUGUGCUGUGCAGCCUGUGGUCAUGGCUGCUAAUUCUCUACAUCAAUAAAAAUAAUGAUACAUCUAUUUUAUUGGCACAGAUACAUGAUUCUGAUUUCAUUUGCUGCUGGAUAUCACACAGUUGCUUUUUAGACAGUGAGAUGACUUGUUGUAGAAAAGUGCAGAUCUCCACUGAAGGAAGGCUUACAUGGGAGACAGCUCUCAUCCAACUCCAAAUGUCUUAUGAGACAAGAAGGAAUCCAAACAAUGCACAUUCAUAUGUGCUCACUAUCCAAGAGUCAACAGUUGCAGUAUGAGCAGUGCCCACUCUUUUUGGCCACCAUGGUGACAUGACAUGACUGAAUAAUUUGCUGCACUAGACAAGCUGGGUCAAGUGACAGCAACCUCUCAAUCCAUCCAUGCAAACAUGGAUUCCUGUUGUCCUCAUUGUUUGAACGCAAACUGAGUUUAAUGAUCUUAGACAGGAUUUAGCACGGCAUCGGGCAGUAGAUUCUGCACUCGCGCACGCGCACACACAAGCGCCGCUCACGUGCCAAACAAACGGACAUUUCCACGAGCACUUUAAUGGCAGAGAGACAGCAGCUUUAGUCUCUUUUGUGCUGUUGCCUGCUUUGGCCUUGACCGAAGUGACUCGUCUUCCGUGAGUAGGAUACAUCACAGUAAAGAGAGAGAGAGAGAGAGAGAGAGAGAGAGAGAGAGAGAGAGAGGGAGAGUAAUGGAAUGAUGGAACGGACGUGGACAUGGCACCAGAUCGGGUUGGAACACAUCCGGCCAACGCAGCUCAAUGAGUGAGGGGUACGGAGCAACAGCAACUCAUCUUGUUUCCCGCCCUGCUGCUGCUGCUGCUGCUAACGAACUCAUGACCAUGGCCAAAAGGAGAUCACAAGUUUCUUCUCUUAACAUCCUCUCUGGAUCAAGCAAUAUCAGACUCCUGUUCUUCGUAUGCUGAGAGAAGGAAGAAAGAAGCUUGGUGAUGUUGCUUCUGCUCAUGGAAGACUACUGUGCAUGUCUCAACCAACUGCAGAAAUCAUAGAACAGCAGCAGUUAAUCCUUGAAAAGCUAAAAUAAACCGAAAAGUUUCGCUCAAUCCAGCAUCAAGAAUGCACAAAACAAAAAUUAAUUCUGUCUCUUGAAGAUUUCUUCUGAGAUCAGAUUCAUGUGCAGAGGCACACUUGUCAUCUACUUUUAUAUUAACUCUUAGCUAAACUUCAUUCCUCUCAAUCCAGACUUCAUUGAUACAACACUCAGACACAUGAGCUGAACUUUAAGAGUAUUAUUAGUGUCAUCUUAUUCUAGCUUUCUUCUUGUUCUUCUCUCAGAAUCUUACACCAAUCAAGGAGGAUAUAUGAUGGGCACUUCUUAACAUUCUCUUAACUUCAUGGAGCAAGAAAGUUUGUUGUCUUGCCAAUCAAAUGCCAUAAGCAACAACCAAUUACAGACAAGGAAAUAACACAUUCAAGAUCAAAGCUUAAGCUUUCAACUUCCUCUCUCAUCUUCAAAUAUUCUACAUCAACUGCUGAACUAGCAUUUUCAGAGAAAUUUUAUUAAGUUACAAACAAGUAUAAGCUGCAAUUAAGUUGCUAAAGUCGAUGAUACAACCGAUAUCGAAAAAGAAAUAUAUUUUAUUUUUCAAUGAGAAAAACUGUAAAUUACUUAAAUAAGUCUGAUGCAAAUAAUCAUUCCAACAAGAAUGGUUCAUGUCGGAUGUAGCAAGGUUUGCCUGCCGAUCCGCAUCCGUAUUUCCAUCAUGAUAAACAUGUUUGAAAGUAUACGAUGCGAAAGAAUGAUUGAAACAGACACAAAAUGUUGAAAAAGAAAUGUUUUUUGAUUUCAGGGUGUUGUAUAUGCAUUUGCAAUGAUGUGAGCUGUUCAAUGGUGAUCUUCUCAUGUUGUCAAAGGAAAUAAAAAGGAAGUUUCUGUGGUACUAAGUGCUGCAUGCAUGUGCUGCAGUCUUAAACUUGCACACACACACACACAUAGAACUGUGCCAACAGAAAGAAGCAUCCAAUAUAAGUGCUUUUCUAUUCUCCUCUUUAUCUGGCUCAAGUGCAGAAGCAGAGGCUGCUUUCUUAUCAUCCACUAUUCCCAGCACUCACUCUCCUUUUCCUCUCCAAGUGAGGAAUCCUAUGAAUAAGCCCAAAAGCCUAUUACUCUUUACCUCCCACACAAAGGAAAAAAGAGUGCUGGGAGCUAAGUCUCAUGUCUUUACCACAUUUUCUUUCUUAAAAGGAUGCUUAGCAAAGGUGGCCAUGGGCUGAUAAAGAGAGAGUUCCAGCUUUUGGCCCUGGCUCUUUUGGUUUCAAGAGCUAUGUAGCUCAUGGUGUCCCUGUAGGACACUGGAUGCAUGAUGAUGGAGUCAAAAGUUAGCAUCAUCACAGAAUAUUUGGGCAUGCUGGUGUUCUUUUUAGCAUAUUGGAAGCAGGACCACUUGCAUGCCUGGGAGAGGCUUGGUGUCUCUGCCUUGGGGCACUGUUCACCAUAUAGGAAUGUGCCCCAUCAUUCACUGACCACCCAAUCUUCCUUCCCCUACUAACAAACUCAAAAGAGCCUGUCCAAUAUCCAUCUCCUAUAUCAGGAAGAAGCUGGUUGUCUUAAAUGGAAAACAAAUUCUGACUAACUAAAGUAUUUCUUUUCUUUUCUUUUUUUUUUUUGCAAGAGAAGAAGGAUCUAAUGGCACAUUGAUCCAUUUUUGUUAACAUCUAAAAAAUUGGCACACAUCUACAUGUACUAUGAAUGCUUAUGGGGACCGAAAUGAGCUGUAAAGACAUCUUGUUAUCCAGAAAUCUUUGCUCUAAAAUUCUUCUACCUACUUGUCCAUUAAAUGGAUUGAGCUAAAGGUCCUCUGUUCAAUCAUCAGAAGCCACCAUCUAGUUGUGAAACCCAUGAUCUCCCCUUUUAUUCUGCUUUUCCUCCUUUGGGUUCCUGCCAUCAUGAUAUGCAAAUGCAAAAGAGACUUUGAUGGCUGUGGGGAAGAGAAAGGCCAGUAAAAGUGGUCAUGAUACCUAUAACCCCAUGGUUGGAGAGGAAAAGCACCUCAAACCAUUCCUCUGGAAUUGGGAAUUGAGAGUUCCAUCAGAGGAUGAACCUUUAGGCUAUCUUUUUAUUAGCUUAAGAAUAUAUUCUAGAACUAAAUAUUAAUUGGUCCAUGAGCAACUUUGUUGACAAGGAGAGAACUAACUCAUAGUAACAUAACACACUUAACUGUAUGUUAAAAGUCAACAACUAGCUGAAACAGAGAUUGGAAUUCAUAACAAUGCACUUUGUCAAUGACAGAGAACAUGAUAUAACUAUUUCAUCAAGAAACACAUAAUUUGGCCUAAACUUGGGCUGAUAUUUUGCCAAAUCUAAGAACAAAACCCACAUGGUAGAUUUAGCAGGCAUAAAUAGAGAUUUAAUGCAUUUACACCAACAAAUAUCCAAUCAAAUAUUGCCUUCAAUUCAGAGACUUGUUAUGGUUCAGCUAGAUCAAUAAUUUAAACUGAACUCCAUAUGAUAACAUAGUAUGUUAACACAGCCUAUUACUGGUUUCUUUGAACACAAUAAAUAUAACAGCAUGCAAGAACCAAACAUAAUGAUAUCUUAUUGACUGGUAUACAUGCUAAUUACCAGAAUUAUAUAGUACUGUACCACUCAAAUAACAAAGAGGGAAGCAUUUCUCUGAUUCUUAUGUGUCAUGAGAGUUUAGUUCGAUAGAGUUUACUGGAGAAAUAAAAAAGAAAAGUCAGAUAUCUGACAGGUCUAAACUAAGUUAGAUCUGCCUUACAGCAUGUAAGUGUGGAAAAAUAUUUUCCAUAGAAAAAUAUUUUCUUCCUGCCUGUUUAAAGUAUGUUUCUAAUAUCUUUUAUACACUGAGGAACAAGAAUUCUGCUUCUACUCGGGUAUCGGGUUUCUAAUAUCUGGUACUAGAAAAUAUCAAUCAAACUAUUUCCAAUGCCCCAAAAUGCCAUUUCAUGUAUGUAUCCAAUAUUUUCACCAUUGCAAGUGAAACUGAGACUUGUAUCAGAAUACCUUAAUCCACAAAAGACUUUUUAUUUAUACUUUUCUUUGUUUUAGCAAACUCAUAACAGCUAAAGAAAAAAGUUCUAAUUUUAAGCACAUCACCCAAAAGGAAGAGAACAGGAAUAUGAAUUGUAGGGCAUGCAACAAAUACCGAUAGAAGAGGAAUUACCUUUCUAAUUCACUCAUAAAUUCAAUCUUGUAUAUGAAUGAAACAUCUUAGUCUGUAAAACUGGAUUUUUCUCUGAUACUAAAAGAUUAUGAGAAAUUCUGAAUAAUUGGCAAGAAUUUAUUAAGAUAAGCAAUAAGGAGGAGAUUUCCUCACAUUGGCAUUGAUCUUGAAUGACUGAAAGUUGUCUUAUAGAUGAUCCCUCAUAUCUUAUAGUAUUUUGUCAUAGCACAGGUACACCCAAGAAUAAUUUCCUGAAGCCUGCAACAUAUGACUGCACAUUGAUUACACCAUUACACCUAAAAAGGAGGAAAACAGUUGAAGAUGUCCAGGACCAAAAUCUGUGCUUGUUGCAGCUACCAACACACCAAUCUUGUUCAACAUUAUGAAGUGAACCAGAUAAACCCCCGCAUAGAGAAUCCUGCAAUGAACUUAGAGCACAAAAGCUCUUAGGAUUGCAUAAUGGAGAACAGAAGGCACCAGCAGCAUAUUUUCACAAACAGAAACACAACUUAAUUAGCUGAGAAACCAGAUUAACUGGAGCAUCAAGAAGAAUUACUAGUGGUUUAUGUACCUCAACACAUACAAGGAAAAUGAAUCUGAUGCAAGAGUGGAUGCAAAAACAGCCCCAAAUUUUCCUAGAUUGGCACAAGCGAAAAUUAUCAGUCCACUCAACUUGGUUAAUUGAGCCAUAUGAAGGUGUAAAUGAAUUUUCAGUUUGUCUAAUGUUUUGUGUAACUUGUCUCAUAAUCAAAUUGGUGCCUAUGAUUCAUGAACACAGACAAAUAAACAAAGAAAUACCAUGAUGUGGUAGACCAUACAGAUCAGUAAUUUUGUUUUAGUCCAACCCAUUGUUAUGAAGUGCACACCCCAUGGACCUCCUCUCACAAAUUAUCAAACAGAGAGUCUGACUCCAGGAAGGAAUCACUACUCUGGAAGAGGAAGGAGUCCAUGACUCCUUGUUGCUGUGGGAUGGGUUAGAUGACCCUAUUUCCAAACAGUAACAGGCUAAUUAGCCUGCUCAUUUGUUUGACAACCCUUCUGUUUUGUUCUUUUUAUAUUCUUUUGACAGAGUUAUAUUUGAGCACUAUUAGCCUACAUAAGCAUAAAGUUAUACACUUAAGGUAUAAGAUGUGGCCUCUAUUCAAUAUAAUGCACUAGCUUCUCAUCAUCUUUCUUCUUCUCUUUCUCUCUUCCCCAUAUUUACAUCUAAUUUAUAGUGAAGAGUGCUGAGAGUGAUCUGAAUUGAGGAAGAAACACUCUCAGCACCUCUUGGAGAUCAAAGUGGAGUUUUAACCAGGUAACAUUCAUCUACAGAAGCUCAAACACAAAUGAUCACAUACCGUUCAGGUUACAGCAGACCUUCCUGAGUCGCAUCUUGGUAGAAUUUACCGAGAAUGAAAAGAUCACCAUAAAGGGAAUAUAGUCAUUGUUUCUUUAUUCUUUGUGUAGUGUAUAUAUACAUAUAUACAUUUGUCUUAGAGUUGGUAGUGAUUCUCUUUUGAGACAAAGAUAAGCUUACUUUAGAGGAAGAAAUGAGCAUUAAGAGACUCUUAGUUGGUACACCUGACUGAUGUUUUUUGUAAUAGCAGAUUGGAAAUCUGUGAUCAAUGCCAUGUCCAUAUCAACAGUGUUCAACUUCAACAAUGGUGGCUCUUGCCAGUUUUAUGAAUGAAAGCAGCAAGUUCGAAGCUUGAAAGGCACAUCAACCAAUCACCACCCUAGUUUUUGCUUCUCUUAUUCACCAGAAAGAUUCACUCCCCAAAUUUGCAUAGCUUUUAGGUCCAUUUAGAUUCCAAAUGAAGCCUCCUCCCAACCAGCACACCAACCUUGAGAUUUAAACGGGCAUCAGGUAUGUUUUCCACUUAACAGCUGAGCUAACAAUGCAAGAUUAAAGGUGAUGAAACCACUCAAAAUGAGAGAGGUUGUGCCAGCCAACCCUUCUUAUACCCUCACAUUGCUUGGCUCUCAUGCCAUGUUCAACAAGAUGGUUCCUGCUCUCUCUCCCUCCAUACCAAAGCUCCACUACAGCUUGGAGUGGAAUGUGAUCCAGAAGAAGGUUGGCCCUCUGCUGUGGCUGCUGGUCAUCUCCACCAUCUUUAUCCUCUUCAUCAUGCACUCCUCUUAUACUCUCAGCAUCAGUGCCAAAGGUGGCCUCAGCCAAAGCCCUCUCAUGUCUGCUGAUAACAGCAACGUGAUACAACUGGUGCAGAGCCCCCCUGAUUCAGAGCUCCUUUCUCCGAACCUCUCCGCACCACAGCCUGCUACUGCUGCUACCAUUAGCAGGGUGACACCAGUUGUGGAAGGUCUCCAUCCGAAUACCAGUGGUAACUGCAGUGCACUACAUUUCUCUCACUGCUCAGCCACUGAUGUGUGAUGAAACCUGAAUCUUUUCCUUUCUUUGGUGCCGAAGGAAUUGAAGAGCUCUGUGAUAUGACAAAGGGCAAGUGGGUGACAGAGCCACGAGCAUCGAUCUAUACCAACGUGACAUGCCCGACGCUGCCUGACAUGAAGAACUGUGGGAAGUAUGGGAUGGAUCAGAGCUAUUUGUAUUGGAGAUGGCAACCCGAUAGUUGUGACAUACCGAGGUUUGAUCCUGUGACAUUCCUGAAUCUAGUUAGAGGGAAGAAGAUGGCCUUCAUUGGUAACUCGCUAGCUCGCAAUCAAAUGGAAUCCCUGCUGUGUCUCGUCUCAGGUAAUUCAUCUAUUAGCUUUAUAGGUAGAGAAGCAGAACAAGGUAAGAACAGUUCAUGCAAACCUGUUGCAGGCAGAGACUUCCAGGCAAGUCUUCAGGGAUUCAGGCGACAUGUACGUGACAUGGUACUUCCCCUCGCAUGAGUUCACCCUCAUGGCCAUGUGGACGGAGUACUUUGUGGAAGCAAGGCCAAGAAUCAUAAACGGAACAGCUUCAUCCUCAUUUGAGCUUCACCUCGACAGGGUGACCAUGAACUGGACGGAGAAACUUCCCGGCGUCGACUACGCCAUCCUCUCCGGCGGCAACUGGUUCUUUCGAGGACUCCACUUGUACCGAGAAGGUGAGAUCGUCGGGUGCGUCAACUGCUGGGGCCAAAACCUGACCGAUUUCGGCGUCGCAGCUGCCAUCAGAAGCGUCAUCAGAACAGCCCUCCAGUUCAUAGCCACAUGCAAGGAGUGCGAGGGGCUCGUCACGUUCUUGCGGACCUUCACGCCAUCACACUUCGAGAAUGGCUCCUGGUUCAGCGGAGGACAAUGCAACAGGACACAGCCAUUGGAUGAGAGCCAGAUUAGUCUGAGCGACAUCACCUGGGAGAUAAGGAAGGUUCAGCUGGAGGAGAUCGAAAGAGCGAGACGGCAAGAGGGAGAAGUGAACAUCAAGUUCUACGUGUUGGAUGUCACCAAAGCGAUGAUGCUGAGGGCAGACGCACACCCCGGGAAGCAAUGGACGACGAAGACGACGGGGGCUGUUAACGACUGCUUGCAUUGGUGCUUGCCCGGCCCUGUUGAUCUGUGGAGCGAUCCAUUGCUCGCGACUCUCAAGAAGAAUUCUCCAUCUCAUUAGUUGCAUACUUAUAUGUAUCGUCUUCGCAUGAGCAUUUUAUCAUAUGACUCGUGUGCACUUUUCAUAGUGUUAGUGUGAAGGCAUGGAAAUCUCACCGUCCGUAGCAAUGGACACGAAUCUUAAAGUCGCCACGCGUCCUUUUCUCCUUGAAGCAUGCGAGAGAUCAAUUUCCACUAUACCGAGGUCACGGAUGACGUUGGAGGAACGGGCGAGAUCCGAUCCGACUGCCACUGGUGAAGCAUCGAUUCGGAUUCGGAUUCGGAUUCGGAUUCGAGUUUGAUCCAAUUAGGAUUAGCUCAAAUCGACGAGAGGCAGAACGUAUAUGUAACGGAUCGGGUUAUAGUAUUGAUCGGGUUAUCGGAGGACGAAAGCUUCGUCCCUUUCCCUAGCAGGUAGGUGGUCGAAACGAAAGGCAAGAAAUAUAAGUGCAACGAGCGGCUCCGGUGAACCCUUUAUAGUAAGCUUUCCUGCGAAGAGUGCCUGCAUAGGGUUUCUAUUCGAGAUCGAGAGAGACGGGUACGUCAUCAAUUCCUCACCACCAGAAUGGAGAAGAUGGGCGCCGCCGACGCACAGAUCGAGGAUCUCUUCGUCAGCAAGAAGCCCAUCAAGAACCCUCUCGUCCCCAUCGGUAAAUCGCUCGUUUGUUUCCUUCCCCCGGUAGUUCCUCUUUUGCGAAAAAGGAAUCUAAUUUGACUGCCCACGCGAAUAACUCGAUUGGAAAAAUUAGAUUUUGUCGGUUUUGGUGGGUUUCCUCUCAUUUAUUUUUCUAUUGGGAGAUUAAAGAACCUCAAGGACUGGAUUUGGGGGAAAUUUCUGGUUUUGAUUAUGGAUUCUAUGGAGCGGUGAAGAGUUAUUGGUGCAUCAAUCAAAACGUUAGGGUUCUCCAUCACGAUGGGUUGAAUUGAUAAGUUGAUGUGUCGGCCUAGUCUUGCAUUAGUUUUGGUUUUAUAUUUUCUUUUUGGUUCAAUAUACCAUUAUAUUGCCAAUGUAGUUGUCUUUAAUAAUGGAUAUAGCUGAAUAAGGCCCUCUAAGAAUAUCUUUGGUCUUCGUAUUAGACUGUUUUGUUUAGUAGGCGCAGUUAUAUGUAAUUAAUUACGUUGAGUUGGGUAGUCAGUUUGUGUUGUACUAUGUGCAAUAGGUCUUCUUGGAUAACAUGUUCCUUAUCUUGAAUCACCAUGGUAAGUGAAAUCUGUGUAUCUGGUUGAGCUUUUAAAGAAUGUUUCAUCUGGUUUACGGUUUAUUUGAUGUCGUGCAAUGUUUGCUUCUCAUUAUUUUAUUAUUAAUGCCACUAGAAGGAUAAGUAAAAUUAGUUUUCCUUAUUGUUAUAUUAAAUUUUACAGAAGUAGUUUGUUCUUGAAUAAUAUAGCUCGAAUGAUUUUGAAGUAGUUGUGCAGAAGUUUAGAAAUUUGUCACACCAAGAGUUUACUAGCGCUUGAAAUUGAUUGUUAUCAUCAGAAUCUUUUAGGACAUGCAUUAUACAUGUCUUUGACCUAUAACCAAAGGCGGAAAAAAAAAAGUCCAGAUGGUUAUUUUCAUCUCUUUUCUUAACCACCAAUUUAUUAUGGGCCAGGAUAAACUAGAUCAGGCCACAGCUAGCCAGGUCAUCUAAGAAGUUGGGACUUUGUCCAAUCCGUCCAAUCCUAGUCUCAAAUGCUAUCAGGCUGAUCCAAUCCCUUGAUUCUUGUUUUUUGGGUUUUUUUGUAUAUUCUUUAAAGGUUCAACUGGUUGCAGAUGCUAAUUUGUGCGUAAAUUUAAUCAAGCAGAAAUAAAGUUAGUUUUGGCUGAUUUGCACGAGUGAUUCUUAUUUUUAGCUGAUCUUUGAUUCGGAGGCUUCAAGUUAGGUUGAGGUCUAAAUUCUCUCGAACUGUUUUAAACUCUCUUUCUAUAUAUACACAGAGAAGGAUGAUGGAGCAGGAAAUGAACUAUAAUACACAAGAAAGCAUUUGUGGCCUCGAUAUUUUCCUUUCAAAUUAAUGAAGGAAUACUUGGACAGGAAAUCAGCACCAUCAAAUAUAAUCUGGUGGUUUUUACAAUUUUUUUCCAGUGCAUUUAUUAGAUGACCUGAUCCAUCGUAAGUAUCAUUGGUGCGCAGCCAGCUGGGUAUCAAUAAGAGUGUUUUGUUGACUAUAAUGUGUAGCGAUGUUCUGCAAUCUUAUUUGGAUUGAACUAGAAUAUGUUGUGACUUAAACUGGAUGUUUUAGCAUAUGUGAAUUAAGUGAUACGUUAGAUAGCCCUGUCGGGUUCCUUAGUUUGCUUGAUGAUACACUUUUUCCUGAAUGGUGGUAUGAUGAUACCAGGAGACGAAAAUUAGUAUUGUUUUUCUGAGCUAAGUUUUGGAUCAGAAGUACAUUCCGUUGGUUUCUUAGACCCUAAGUUUGAACCAUUAUUAAGUUGUUUAGUCUGCAUAAAGUAUUUCUUGGUGUAAUUUUGUCAAUGGUUAUGCUUGUGAUGGCUCCACAUGUCAGUUUCUCUGUUGUGGUUGUCCCUACUCCGCUGUAGAAGUUGAGUUGCCUACUCGUUUCUGCCAACAAUGAUACAUAAACUUUAAAUAACAUUAUUGUUAUCAUUUUUUCUUUAAAUUUAAAUUGAUUGAAGAAAUUUUCAGGUGCACUUAUGACUGCCGGUGUGCUUACGGCAGGUCUAGUUAGCUUCAGGCAAGGAAAUUCUCAGCUGGGACAGAAGCUGAUGAGGGCACGAGUUGUAUUUCAAGGUGCAACAGUUGCAUUGAUGGUUGGCAGUGCUUACUACUAUGGUGAGACCUUUAGGGGUUCUAAGAACAAAAAUUAAAUGAUAUAAAGAUGGCUUGCAGUCAUCUUUCAUCUAUGACUGAGUUUUUAUUGGCAUCAAAAUAAUUUAUUACACGUUUUCUUUCACUUGGGAAAAGAGUGGUAGCUGACCAAAUCUUCUGGAAAAUAUAGUGGCAAUGAAAUAAUGCGCCAGUACUUUCGUGUUUGUAUUAUUUACACAAUUGUAUCAGAAUGUAUUAUGUAAUCAUGUGAUGGAUCCAUGUAUGACAUGAACAUUUGGAAACAUAUUGGUUAUAAAUGGACACUUUGAGUCAAAUAUCAGGAAUUACCAUUGCAAGUAGGAUUAAGGAUGGAUCUCAAACAAGGAUAUGAAGAUGGAAGCAGGGUAGUCAUAUUAUUUUUAGUUAAAUAAGGUUUGGCAAGGGAAUUCAACAGAUGAUAACCAUACUGUCAUGGCUGUCAUGCAAGACUCCAUAUUAGGAUGAACUUUGAAGAAAUUUAGAACUUUGUGAUACCUAAUGGUAGUUGACCUCAAAAACCAAACUAUCAGGAAAUCUGCUUCAAUGCAACAGAAAACUGCAGGAAUUUAGAAGUGGGAAGUGAAUUAUUGUGUGUUUAUGGCUUUUUAGACAUGUCUGAAAAGAAAGAUUAGACAAAUGAAGUGGUGACUAAGUAUGACUGACCAAAUUGGAUCAUGCAGCUUCUUCUUCAAUGAAUGCAUCUCUACCACACCUUAGGCAUAGUAAACUUUGCUUUUGUCAAGCUAGGGUUUGAAAGAAGAAGAAGAAGAAGAAGAAGAAGAAGCCCUUAAAAAAAUAUACACGCUACUAUCAAGCAAACACUUUUCUUCGAAAAAUGAGAAAAAUGAAAGCUGAAGACUUUUUUCUGAUAAAAUUGAUCAAAAAUAUAUUUUAUAUUUUUAUAAGUAGUAUUUCAAUGAUAAAAAGGGAAUUCCAAAACAUCUGUUAGUGGAUCAGUAGUCUAUAAAUCCAACCCAUACAAAUCAAGCCAUUUCAAUGAUCAAAGAUGGAGGCAUAUGAAUUCCUUUAUUACCAAAGUAUUUAUGUGAAGAUGGAUUCUGCAAUUUUGCUGCUUCCACAUGCAUGAAAAGUCUCCAGCUUGAGAUCUUCUUCAAGAUGAGAUCCACCGCUAUGGAGAAGGGUUAGUAACAAUGGCACACUGUCCAUUUCCCAGUCCUUAAUUCUUCUGAUAUAUCCAUCUGUUCAAGUGACAGUUUGGCAGGAAGAGUUGCAGCAGAUCAAAGCCACAAGUGGGUGUUCGAGGAGCUCCAAGAUCAUGAGAUCAAUGCUUUGCCCGGGUGGAGCAACCUUGUUGAUGAUUCUGUGUGUGUGCCUCCGCCCACAUGAUCUGUCUCUUCAUGGUGCAAGCUUCUUUUUGAUGUGUCGAAUUCCUCUCUCUCUCUCUCUCUAUACGAUUCUUCCACAAAGCUUUGUGCUAAUUCCUUCUCACCCAUGCAGACUGUAGCUUUUGAUAUUGGUUUCAAUCUUUUGUCACCAUGUUGCAUAGCAAACUUAAUAAUCCAUCAUCGAGCAUAUAGUUCUCACAGGAUGUCCCAAUUUAAUUCUAAUAUCUUAAUAAUUAAAAACAUUAAUCUAAUGUAAUAGUUCAUGAGUAUACCUUUCUGCUCAUGACAGUUGAUUAAGUUGGAACUGAGAGAAAUCGCAGUGAUGCCAUUUCUGAGUUGUGUCAACCUUUUCUAUUCUUCUUCUUCUUCUUCCUGUUUAUCUAUAUAAUGGUCUAUCCUUCAAAGUAAAUGACCCUUGUC